Molecule: ribosomal RNA, 468 nt
Filed under: uncultured bacterium
Lineage: Bacteria
Description: partial 16S ribosomal RNA
Rfam family: Bacterial small subunit ribosomal RNA
Source: RNAcentral
GACGAACGCUGGCGGCGUGCUUAACACAUGCAAGUCGAACGGAAAGGCCCUGCUUUUGUGGGGUGCUCGAGUGGCGAACGGGUGAGUAACACGUGAGUAACCUGCCCUUGACUUUGGGAUAACUUCAGGAAACUGGGGCUAAUACCGGAUAGGAGCUCCUGCUGCAUGGUGGGGGUUGGAAAGUUUCGGCGGUUGGGGAUGGACUCGCGGCUUAUCAGCUUGUUGGUGGGGUAGUGGCUUACCAAGGCUUUGACGGGUAGCCGGCCUGAGAGGGUGACCGGCCACAUUGGGACUGAGGUACGGCCCAGAGUGCUACGGGAGGCAGCAGUGGGAAAUAUUGCACAAUGGGCGGAAGCCUGAUGCAGCAACGCCGCGUGCGGAAUGACGGCCUUCGGGUUAUAAACCGCUUUCGCCUGUGACGAAGCGUGAGUGACGGUAAUGGGUAAAGAAGCACCGGCUAACUACGUG